This 1188-nucleotide ribosomal RNA is filed under the name Pectobacterium odoriferum. Its description in RNAcentral is "bacterial LSU rRNA". It matches the Rfam family "Bacterial large subunit ribosomal RNA", at positions 1747 to 2925 of the family's 2925-position model. Lineage: Bacteria; Pseudomonadati; Pseudomonadota; Gammaproteobacteria; Enterobacterales; Pectobacteriaceae. The record is from RNAcentral.
GGAGCUGAAAUCAGUCGAAGAUACCAGCUGGCUGCAACUGUUUAAUAAAAACACAGCACUGUGCAAACACGAAAGUGGACGUAUACGGUGUGACGCCUGCCCGGUGCCGGAAGGUUAAUUGAUGGGGUCAGCCGCAAGGCGAAGCUCUUGAUCGAAGCCCCGGUAAACGGCGGCCGUAACUAUAACGGUCCUAAGGUAGCGAAAUUCCUUGUCGGGUAAGUUCCGACCUGCACGAAUGGCGUAAUGAUGGCCAGGCUGUCUCCACCCGAGACUCAGUGAAAUUGAACUCGCUGUGAAGAUGCAGUGUACCCGCGGCAAGACGGAAAGACCCCGUGAACCUUUACUAUAGCUUGACACUGAACCUUGAGCCUUGAUGUGUAGGAUAGGUGGGAGGCUUUGAAGCGUGGACGCCAGUCUGCGUGGAGCCAACCUUGAAAUACCACCCUUUAAUGUUUGAUGUUCUAACGUGGACCCGUAAUCCGGGUUGCGGACAGUGUCUGGUGGGUAGUUUGACUGGGGCGGUCUCCUCCCAAAGCGUAACGGAGGAGCACGAAGGUUAGCUAAUCCUGGUCGGACAUCAGGAGGUUAGUGCAAAGGCAUAAGCUAGCUUGACUGCGAGAGUGACAGCUCGAGCAGGUGCGAAAGCAGGUCUUAGUGAUCCGGUGGUUCUGAAUGGAAGGGCCAUCGCUCAACGGAUAAAAGGUACUCCGGGGAUAACAGGCUGAUACCGCCCAAGAGUUCAUAUCGACGGCGGUGUUUGGCACCUCGAUGUCGGCUCAUCACAUCCUGGGGCUGAAGUAGGUCCCAAGGGUAUGGCUGUUCGCCAUUUAAAGUGGUACGCGAGCUGGGUUUAGAACGUCGUGAGACAGUUCGGUCCCUAUCUGCCGUGGGCGUUGGAAGAUUGAGAGGGGUUGCUCCUAGUACGAGAGGACCGGAGUGAACGCACCACUGGUGUACGGGUUGUGAUGCCAAUUGCAUUGCCCGGUAGCUAAGUGCGGAAGAGAUAACCGCUGAAAGCAUCUAAGCGGGAAACUUGCCUCGAGAUGAGUCUUCCCUGGGCACUAGAUGCCCCUGAAGGGCCGUUGAAGACGACGACGUAGAUAGGCUGGGUGUGUAAGCGUAGCGAUACGUUGAGCUAACCAGUACUAAUGACCCGAGAGGCUUAACCUUACAACACCGAAGGUGUUU